RNAcentral lists this ribosomal RNA (253 nucleotides) under uncultured bacterium. RNAcentral describes it as "partial 16S ribosomal RNA". It matches the Rfam family "Bacterial small subunit ribosomal RNA", at positions 524 to 776 of the family's 1533-position model. The record is from RNAcentral.
UACGUAGGUGGCAAGCGUUGUCCGGAUUUAUUGGGUUUAAAGGGUGCGUAGGCGGUCUUCUAAGUCAGUUGUGAAAUACUUCAGCUUAACUGGAGAGGUGCAAUUGAUACUGGAAGACUUGAGUACUGAUGAGGUAGGCGGAAUGGACGGUGUAGCGGUGAAAUGCUUAGAUAUCGUCCAGAACACCGAUAGCGAAGGCAGCUUACUAAGGAGUAACUGACGCUGAGGCACGAAAGUGUGGGGAGCAAACAGG